This 267-nucleotide ribosomal RNA is filed under the name uncultured bacterium. Its description in RNAcentral is "partial 16S ribosomal RNA". It matches the Rfam family "Bacterial small subunit ribosomal RNA", at positions 86 to 354 of the family's 1533-position model. The record is from RNAcentral.
UUUAUCUUAGUGGCGGACGGGUGAGUAACGCGUGGGUAACCUGCCCUGUACAGGGGAUAACACUUAGAAAUAGGUGCUAAAACCGCAUAAGCGCACAGUACCGCAUGGUACAGUGUGAAAAACUCCGGUGGUACAGGAUGGACCCGCGUCUGAUUAGCUGGUUGGAGGGGUAACGGCCCACCAAGGCGACGAUCAGUAGCCGGCCUGAGAGGGUGAACGGCCACAUUGGGACUGAGACACGGCCCAAACUCCUACGGAAGGCAGCAG